RNAcentral lists this ribosomal RNA (867 nucleotides) under uncultured bacterium. Its description in RNAcentral is "bacterial SSU rRNA". It matches the Rfam family "Bacterial small subunit ribosomal RNA", at positions 524 to 1381 of the family's 1533-position model. The record is from RNAcentral.
UACAGAGGUCUCAAGCGUUGUUCGGAUUCAUUGGGCGUAAAGGGUGCGUAGGCGGCGCGGUAAGUCGGGUGUGAAAUCUCGGAGCUUAACUCCGAAACUGCAUUCGAUACUGCCGUGCUUGAGGACUGGAGAGGAGACUGGAAUUUACGGUGUAGCGGUGAAAUGCGUAGAUAUCGUAAGGAAGACCAGUGGCGAAGGCGGGUCUCUGGACAGUUCCUGACGCUGAGGCACGAAGGCCAGGGGAGCAAACGGGAUUAGAUACCCCGGUAGUCCUGGCAGUAAACGGUGCACGUUUGGUGUGGGAGGAUUCGACCCCUUCUGCGCCGGAGCUAACGCGUUAAACGUGCCGCCUGGGGAGUACGGUCGCAAGAUUAAAACUCAAAGAAAUUGACGGGGGCCCGCACAAGCGGUGGAGUAUGUGGCUCAAUUCGAUGCAACGCGAAGAACCUUACCAGGCCUUGACAUGCAUCUCUAAGUUGGUGAAAGCCAGCGAGUCCCGAAAGGGACAAUUUGCACAGGUGCUGCAUGGCUGUCGUCAGCUCGUGUCGUGAGAUGUUGGGUUAAGUCCCGCAACGAGCGCAACCCCUGUGAACUGUUGCCACCGAGCCGUGAGGCUCGAGCACUCUGUUCAGACUGCCCCGCUCUAACGGGGAGGAAGGUGGGGACGACGUCAAGUCAGUAUGGCCCUUACGGCCUGGGCUGCACACGUACUACAAUGCCCAGUACAGAAGGAUCCUAGACCGCGAGGUGGAGGAAAUCACUAAAACUGGGCCCAGUUCAGAUUGAAGUCUGCAACUCGACUUCAUGAAGCCGGAAUCGCUAGUAAUGGCGUAUCAGCUACGACGCCGUGAAUACGUUCCCGGGCCU